CCUGGCGCUCGGGGGCUCGGGGCGCGGCCGCUCGGCGCCCGCUCUGGGAGAGCUGUGCGGGGCCCCCGCGUCCGCCGGAAGAGGCCGCCCUCGGGGCCGGCUGGGCUGGGCCGGGCCGGACCGCCCCGGCCCGCGGGAGAGGCCGGCGCGCGCCGGAGGGCAGGCGGAGGGCGUCUCCGCACGCUGGAAGCGGGGCGGCCACGGGCCCCGCGAGCCCCCUGAGCCGCAGAAAAGCUGGGGAAAUACACACGGAUGCAAAAGGCCCUGGCUCGCGUGACCCUAGCCCAGGAGAAGCAGCUGAGUUACCGGACAUCGUUGUCAGCAGAAGUUGGGUCGGUGGCUGGAUGCUGUAGCUGCAGGGAUUCAGCGCCUAGCAGAACUCCUGUGCAAGGAGAGAAGCAGAGAUGCCACAUUUUUAAAGUUUCACAAAGCAUCCAGCUGCACCUAGGUUGCUGGAGCAGGAGACAAACAGAAUUAAUGUUUUAUACCUUCGGGUAUAGGUUUGAGUUUUUUCCCCCUCAUGCCAAGUAUUUAAAACCUCUAGAAACCCA
Long non-coding RNA from Manis pentadactyla (Chinese pangolin), 551 nucleotides. RefSeq lists it as uncharacterized. The transcript has 2 exons. The record is from RefSeq and is a predicted model, not a curated record. NCBI's taxonomy places the organism in Eukaryota, Metazoa, Chordata, Mammalia, Pholidota, Manidae.